Molecule: long non-coding RNA, 374 nt
Filed under: Phoenix dactylifera (date palm)
Lineage: Eukaryota; Viridiplantae; Streptophyta; Magnoliopsida; Arecales; Arecaceae
Description: long non-coding RNA (PDAC_LNC002064)
Source: RNAcentral
AGUUUGUGGAAGGCCAGUCUGGAAAUGUCUGCAGGUGGAUACAUGCAUGAAUCUGGUGACCAAAACAAAGGCUUUUUAAAAAGCAUGGCUUCUAAGUGGCCCCGAGAUUAGCUCUUGUUUGCAGUCCAAUAUGGAGGCUUUGAGAAUGAGAGCGACCUUCUGGUCAGCAAAUGCUCUGUCAAUCUAGUCCAUCCAUCUUCAAUCUCCCUUAUUGGAUUUCAGAUUAUUCGCACUUGUGAUAAUUGAAGUCAUUGCACUUGGUGUGUUCUUUUCAUUAGCUUUUCCUUAUGUUUUCAUUAGAUUUUCCUUAUCAUCGGCUAUAUUGUCAAUUCUGCAACAUAAUCAAAUACAGUUACUGGAUUAUACUCUUUUUU